AGUGAACGCUGGCGGUAGGCCUAACACAUGCAGUCGAACGGCAGCACAGUAAGCGCUUGCUCUUACGGGUGGCGAGUGGCGGCCGGGUGAGGAAUACAUCGGAAUCUACUUUUUCGUGGGGGAUAACGUAGGGAAACUUACGCUAAUACCGCAUACGACCUACGGGUGAAAGCAGGGGAUCUUCGGACCUUGCGCGAUUGAAUGAGCCGAUGUCGGAUUAGCUAGUUGGCGGGGUAAAGGCCCACCAAGGCGACGAUCCGUAGCUGGUCUGAGAGGAUGAUCAGCCACACUGGAACUGAGACACGGUCCAGACUCCUACGGGAGGCAGCAGUGGGGAAUAUUGGACAAUGGGCGCAAGCCUGAUCCAGCCAUACCGCGUGGGUGAAGAAGGCCUUCGGGUUGUAGAGCCCUUUUGUUGGGAAAGAAAAGCAGCAGGUUAAUACCCCGCUGUUCUGACGGUACCCAAAGAAUAAGCACCGGCUAACUUCGUG
Molecule: ribosomal RNA, 491 nt
Filed under: uncultured bacterium
Lineage: Bacteria
Description: partial 16S ribosomal RNA
Rfam family: Bacterial small subunit ribosomal RNA
Source: RNAcentral